RNAcentral lists this ribosomal RNA (484 nucleotides) under uncultured bacterium. RNAcentral describes it as "partial 16S ribosomal RNA". It matches the Rfam family "Bacterial small subunit ribosomal RNA", at positions 30 to 507 of the family's 1533-position model. The record is from RNAcentral.
AUUGAACGCUGGCGGCAUGCCUUACACAUGCAAGUCGAACGGCAGCGCGGGAGCAAUCCUGGCGGCGAGUGGCUAACGGGUGUGUAAUACAUCGGAACGUGCCCAAUCGUGGGGGAUAACGCAGCGAAAGCUGUGCUAAUACCGCAUCCUAUCUACGGCUGAAAGCAGGGGAUCGCAAGACCUUGCGCGCCUGGAGCGGCCGAUGGCCGAUUAGGUAGUUGGUGAGGUAAAGGCUCACCAAGCCUUCGAUCUGUAGCUGGUCUGAGAGGACGACCGGCCACACUGGGACUGAGACACGGCCCAGACUCCUACGGGAGGCAGCAGUGGGGAAUUUUGGAAAAUGGGCGAAAGCCUGAUCCAGCCAUGCCGCGUGAAGGAUGAAGGCCUUCGGGUUGUAAACUGCUUUUGUACGGAACGAAACGGUAUUUUCUAAUAAAGAAGGCUAAUGACGGUACCGGAAGAAUAAGCACCGGCUAACUACGUG